RNA transcript from Vitis riparia (riverbank grape), 4287 nucleotides. It is a transcript of the gene named structural maintenance of chromosomes protein 1, with no coding region annotated. The record is from RefSeq and is a predicted model, not a curated record. Lineage: Eukaryota; Viridiplantae; Streptophyta; Magnoliopsida; Vitales; Vitaceae. The transcript is spliced from 19 exons.
AAGCUCUUUCUUCCUUUCUCGUUUGGAAAAAUGAAUGUCAAAACCACACUCCUUGAACCCUAGCUCCCACUUUCUCGAGAAAAUUCCACCUGCACAUUCCCAGUAAAGGCAUAAAAAAUGCCGUCACUAAUCUCCCAGGGCAAAAUCCACCGCUUAGAGCUGGAAAAUUUCAAGUCCUACAAGGGAUUCCAGACCAUCGGUCCAUUCUAUGACUUCACGGCGAUUAUUGGUCCAAACGGCGCGGGAAAGUCCAAUCUCAUGGACGCCAUAAGCUUUGUUCUCGGUGUUCGUACGGGCCAGCUUCGCGGAGCACAAUUGAAGGACUUGAUCUACGCCUUUGACGACAAAGAGAAGGAACAAAAGGGUCGAAGGGCUUUUGUGAGGCUUGUGUACCAGCUGGGUAAUGGGUCGGAGCUCCAAUUCACACGGGCCAUCACCAGUUCCGGCGGCAGUGAGUACCGAAUCGAUGGAAAAAUGGUUUCGUGGGAUGAGUAUAAUGGGAAACUGAAGUCGCUGGGGAUUCUCGUCAAAGCGCGGAAUUUUCUUGUUUUUCAGGGUGAUGUGGAGUCAAUUGCAUCUAAAAAUCCCAAAGAACUUACAGGACUUCUUGAGCAGAUCUCUGGGUCUGAGGAUCUCAAGAAAGAUUAUGAGGAUCUUGAAGAGCAAAAGGCCAGGGCUGAAGAAAAGUCAGCACUUGUUUAUCAGAAAAAAAGAACAAUAGUGAUGGAAAGAAAGCAGAAGAAAGAACAGAAAGAAGAGGCUGAAAAACAUCUCCGCUUGCAAGAGCAACUGAAAUCCUUGAAGAAAGAACACUUUCUAUGGAAGUUACUGAACAUAGAAAAGGAUAUUGCCAAGAUAAAUGAGGAUCUUGAAGCUGAGAACAAAAGCCGUAAAGAUGUUAUUCAAGAACAAGAAAGUUGUGAGCGUGAAGCAAGUAAAGCGAAGAAAGAACAAGCCAAAUAUCUGAAAGAGAUUACUCAAUUUGAGAAGAAGAUCUCAGACAAAAAUAAUAAACUUGACAAGAAUCAACCAGAACUUCUGAAAUUAAAGGAGGAAAUGUCACGCAUAAAUUCAAAAAUCAAAAGCAGCCGUAAGGAGCUUGACAAAAAGAGAGAAGAAAGGAGGAAGCAUGCCUAUGAUAUUGAAAAGCUACGGAAUGACUUGCAAGAUGUGGCUAAAAGCCUGGAUGAUGUGAAUGAAAAAGUUCAAGAUGGCGGGGUAAAGCUUCAAUUAGCUGACAGUCAACUAAAGGAAUAUAACCGAAUUAAGGAGGAUGCUGGAAUGAAAACUGCAAAGCUCAGAGAUGAGAAAGAGCUUCUAGAUAGACAACAGCAUGCUGAUACUGAAGCACGAAAGAAUUUGGAAGAAAAUCUUCAAGAGCUGACAAAUAGGAAGGAAGAACUAGAUUCACAGGAGGAACAAAUGCAAACAAGACUGAAAAAUAUUCUUGAUGCAUCUGUCAAACAUAAGAAAGAUCUCACACAAGAGAAAAAGGAUCUACGUGAGAUGCAAGAUAAACUUGGGGCUUCUAGGAAAAAACAUCAAAAAUAUAAGUUGAGAAUUAGUGAAAUAGAAGACCAACUACGGGAAUUGAAGGCUGAUAGACAUGAAAAUGAGAGGGAUGCCCGGUUGUCUCAAGCGGUUGAGACACUCAAGCGCCUCUUUCCAGGAGUCCAUGGUCGAAUGACUGAACUUUGUAGACCAACACAGAAGAAGUAUAACCUUGCUGUUACUGUUGCUAUGGGUAAAUUUAUGGAUGCUGUAGUAGUUGAGGAUGAACACACUGGAAAGGAAUGCAUCAAGUAUUUAAAAGAGCAAAGGCUUCCUCCUCAGACAUUUAUACCUCUUCAGUCAGUCCGGGUAAAGCCAAUUGUGGAGAAAUUACGCACCUUGGGUGGUACUGCCAAGCUGGUCUUUGAUGUUAUCCAAUUUGAUCCAGCCUUGGAGAAGGCUAUUCUAUUUGCUGUUGCCAAUACUUUAGUAUGUGAUGACCUUGAGGAAGCUAAGGUUCUUAGCUGGAGUGGAGAGAGGUUUAAAGUUGUAACUGUCGAUGGGAUUCUACUCACAAAAUCUGGCACAAUGACUGGUGGUACCAGUGGUGGAAUGGAAGCAAGAUCAAAACAGUGGGAUGAUAAAAAAGUUGAAGGACUUAAAAAACAAAAAGAACAGUAUGAAUCUGAGUUGGAGCAGCUUGGAUCAAUAAGAGAGAUGCAGCUAAAAGUGUCUGAAUUAUCUGGGAAAAUUAGUGGGCUUGAAAAAAAGAUUCAGUAUGCAGAGAUUGAGAAGAAAAGUAUAGAUGACAAACUUGCAAAACUGAGGCAGGAAAAGCGGAAUAUUUCAGAAGAAAUUAGCCGUAUCAAUCCUGAGCUUCGAAAGUUGAAAGAUGUUAUUGAUAAGAGGGCCACAGAAAUCAGAAAGCUGGAGAAGAGGAUCAAUGAGAUCGUUGACCGAAUUUACAAGGAUUUCAGUGAGUCUGUUGGGGUGAAAAACAUUCGUGAGUAUGAAGAAAACCAACUCAUGGCAGCACAACAGGUGGCUGAAGAAAAGCUUAGUUUGAGUAACCAGAUGGCAAAGUUGAAAUACCAGUUGGAGUAUGAGCAAAGGAGGGACAUGGACUCACGAAUUACAAAGCUGGAAUCUUCUAUCAGUUCUUUAGAAAAUGAUCUAAAACAGGUUCAGAAGAAAGAGGCUGAAGCCAAGUUAACAAUGGAGAAAGCUACUGGUGAUGUUGAUCAAUUGAAAGAUGAAGUACAAGAGUGGAAGUCCAAGUCCGAAGAGUGUGAGAAGGAAAUCCAGAAGUGGAAGAAGCGGGCUUCUACUGCUGCAGGAAGCAUAAGCAAACUUAAUCGUCAGAUAAGUUUGAAGGAAACACAGGGUGAACAACUGAAAUUGCAGAAGCAGGAGAUCUUGGAGAAGUGUGAAGUAGAGCAUAUAAUCCUACCUACUGUCUCAGACGCAAUGGAAAUCGGAUCCUCAAUGCCAAGUCCAGUUUUUGAUUUUAGUCAGCUAAAUAGAUCUCAUCAGGUAGAUAUGAGACCUUCUGAAAGAGAGAAGGUUGAAGUGGAAUUUAAGCAAAAAAUGGAUGCCCUAAUAUCAGAAAUAGAAAGAACAGCUCCAAAUUUGAAGGCCUUGGACCAGUAUGAGGCUUUGCAAGAGAAGGAAAGACAUGUAACUGAAGAGUUUGAAGUAGCCAGAAAGGAAGAGAAGGAAAUAACUGAUAAGUACAAUUCCGUUAAGCAGAGAAGGUAUGAACUCUUUAUGGAAGCAUUUAGUCAUAUUUCUGGUAAUAUUGAUAAGAUCUACAAACAGCUAACAAAAAGCAACACACACCCAUUGGGCGGAACGGCAUAUUUGAACUUAGAAAAUGAGGAUGAUCCUUUCUUACAUGGCAUCAAGUACACUGCUAUGCCCCCAACAAAGCGCUUCCGUGAUAUGGAACAGCUGUCUGGUGGUGAGAAAACUGUUGCAGCACUUGCAUUGCUCUUCUCUAUCCAUAGUUAUAGGCCUUCUCCUUUUUUUAUAUUGGAUGAAGUCGAUGCUGCAUUGGACAAUCUGAAUGUUGCUAAGGUUGCUGGAUUCAUCCGAUCAAAAUCAUGUGAAGGAGCAAGGGGUAAUCAGGAUGGUGAGGGAGGCAGUGGUUUUCAGAGUAUCGUGAUAUCACUGAAGGAUAGCUUUUAUGACAAGGCUGAAGCUCUGGUUGGGGUUUACAGGGACUCUGAUAGGGGCUGCUCGAGAACUCUGACAUUUGACCUGACCAAUUAUAGAGAAGCAUGAACGCCUCCUCGCUGGAGGCUGGGCUUCAGGUUAAAACUAUUUGUCAUGUUAAUAGAUUUGUGUGAUAGGGAUGAUGCUGAAAACCUCAAGUCAUACUCAAGAGAAUCAUAGUGGGUUCACUCUCUAAUCAUCAACUCCUAAAAUGAAUGAUAAUGGCCGAACUGAGCUGGUAAGAUUUGAUGCACUUCACCAUUAAAAUGAACAUUAUUGUAGCCCCAUGAUCAUGCCUCAACUGUCUGUCAAAAUGCUAUGAUGGUUGGUAGUAUAUGCUAUAUACACAUUUCUUAAAGGUGGGUAUUGGUGAGGGAUUGAGGCUUGAACCCUCAAUGCCAAAUACGUCCAAGGAUGCCUUCACUCAGUUGAUUUUCUAUUCCAAUUCAAAGGCAGAAAUAGGAAGGGAACUAAAGGUGAGCUACAAUACCAUCAUAAAAAUGAAUUUCCUAUUCUUUGUUGUAUUACUAACUAGUAAUUCAAACAUGUAAUAAAUGAGAUAUGAAAUGGUUUUUUUUCUAA